UCUUGUUGUUCUUCUUUUCUUUUUUUUUUUUUUUUUUUUUUGGUACUGGGGAUUAAACCUAGGAGUGUUUUGCCACUAAGCUAUUUCCCCAGCCCUUUCUAUUUUUUUCCUUUUGCCCAGGCUGACCUUGAACUUGCAAUCUUCCUGCCUCAGCCUCUGGAGUCGCUGGGAUUACAGGCGUGUGUCACCACACCCAACCACAGUUGUUAUGUUUCUUUCUUAACAUACAUGAAGAUCAACAUGUAUGAUGGAAAAUGAGGAAUAUGAUUUAAAUUCACUCUGUUAUAUAUACUAGGUAACUAAUAAGGUUUUUUCUUUAAAAAAAAGAACUGAAAAUUUUCUUUCGCAGCUAACCAGUCCCUCUAUUUAUAGUCAUUCACAAGACCUUACUAAUUAAGCUUAAUUAGCAUGUAGCACAAUUUAUGCCUAUCAUUAAAUAUGUGACAAAUGAGAAAAUGUGAGAAAGUGUUAUGUAAAUUAUAAACCUUUUUUUGUGUCAGGUUAACUUUGCAGUGAGUUUGUUUUACAAUUACAAACCCCCCCCCAAUUUUAUGUCUUUGUAGACUUGCUAUAAUUCAUAGUGGCAUACUUGUGACUUUUAAGGCACUAUCAAGAACUUUGUUCCUAAAUGAAUUUUGAAAGAAAAAUCACUAAGUUCUGGUAAGUUUAUGAAAAAAAUCAGUCUUAAUUAUUUAUACUUUUAGGUUUUUAAAAACCUUUGUUACUCAUAACCCUUGUGCUUUCUCACUGCAUGCCCCCUCCAACUAGAAAACUUUGCAUUCUGUAGUUCAUAUUACUUAAAUUUUAAAAAGGGCUGGGGUUGUGGCUCAGUGGUAGAGUGAUUGCCUAGCACACGUGAGGCACUGGGUUCGAUCCUCAGCACCACAUUAAAAAAAAAAAAAAAGAUACUGUGUUCACCUAAAACUAAAAAAUAAAUAUUAAAAAAAAGAGGGUAGGAAUGUGUGGAUCAGUGAUAGAGUACUGGAUUCAAUCCCCAGUAGCAAAACCACCACAAAAAGACAAAACAGAAAGACACUGAAUUUGCUUUCUUAAAAAUCCCUUGGGCUGGGGUAGUGGCUCAGAGGUAGAGUGCUCACCUAUCAUGUGUGAGGCACUGGGUUCGAUCCUCAGCACCACAUAAAAGUAAAAUAAAAUAAAGAUAUUGUGUUCACCUACAACUAAAAAUAAAUAUUAAAAAACCCCAUCCCUCCAUCUGUAGAGAACUACUGUUGUAUAAUCACACAUCAUCUAUGGCUCUUGCAAGAAUCUGUUGGAUUUUUUCCUUGUUUUCCAGCAUCAUCUUGCCAUUACAUGAACCUUUGAGAGAACUCUGUAUAUAGUUACAGAGUUAGCUGCUUGGGACUAUUGAGUGGGAUAUAUUUUGUGAUUAGUGGCAUUGACUGGAAUAAUUAUGAAUUAAUCCUUUAGGAAAGGACCUUCUAAACCCUUUGCCUUGAGGCUUUCAACCUAUGCUUGUGAAGAAAUCAAACGCUUUUAAAUGUUGGUUUUCCAAACAAAGAUAGAUUUGAUUUCUCAAGUAUUACUUGGAAUGUGUACUUAAUCUGAGAGUAUAUAAAAGUAACUAUGUCCAAAUAAUUUGCAGCAUAAAAAUGUAUGCAUAUUCUAAUAAAAAAUAUAUUCAUAUCCUGGAAAGAGA
Molecule: long non-coding RNA, 1657 nt
Filed under: Marmota monax (woodchuck)
Lineage: Eukaryota; Metazoa; Chordata; Mammalia; Rodentia; Sciuridae
Rfam family: tRNA (bases 1070-1136)
Source: RNAcentral